AUUGAACGCUGGCGGCAUGCCUUACACAUGCAAGUCGAACGGCAGCACGGGAGCAAUCCUGGUGGCGAGUGGCGUACGGGUGAGUAAUAUAUCGGAACGUGCCCAGUCGUGGGGGAUAACGUAGCGAAAGCUACGCUAAUACCGCAUACGAUCUAUGGAUGAAAGCGGGGGAUCGCAAGACCUCGCGCGAUUGGAGCGGCCGAUAUCAGAUUAGGUAGUUGGUGAGGUAAAGGCUCACCAAGCCGACGAUCUGUAGCUGGUCUGAGAGGACGACCAGCCACACUGGGACUGAGACACGGCCCAGACUCCUACGGGAGGCAGCAGUGGGGAAUUUUGGACAAUGGGCGCAAGCCUGAUCCAGCAAUGCCGCGUGCAGGAUGAAGGCCUUCGGUU
This 393-nucleotide ribosomal RNA is filed under the name uncultured bacterium. RNAcentral describes it as "bacterial SSU rRNA". It matches the Rfam family "Bacterial small subunit ribosomal RNA", at positions 30 to 423 of the family's 1533-position model. The record is from RNAcentral.